Oryzias latipes (Japanese medaka) is the source of this 2663-nucleotide non-coding RNA. The record is from RefSeq and is a predicted model, not a curated record. Lineage: Eukaryota; Metazoa; Chordata; Actinopteri; Beloniformes; Adrianichthyidae.
AUUCAUAAUAUAAUUUGUUGUUGUUUGAAUCAGUGACAGUUUGCAUACAUUCUGAGGACUCCCGUGAACCAGUAGCAGGUGUUGCUGCUGCUGUCAGCAGCCUGUCUGUCACUCUGCCACGCUGUGAUUGAGACAUCAACCUAAUCCAUGUUUACACUGUGCUGCAUGUGUCAUGUCUAGCUGUUAACCACACAGAAUUAGGCUGUGUUUGACAUCUCCUGCAACCCGCCACUUGAACCCAUCAUCGACUUCGGUCUCAAAGUGCAACUCCCGUGCUUUGUAAGCUGCUACUGCCUGGUCAAAAAACAAAAACAAAGCAGAGGGCUAUGAAGAGAUUGGUGGUUGUGUAGAAGGAGAGACGGCGGAUGGCGAUUGUUAUAACAGCUGCUCGUGGUACAAGUGAUCGAUUCGCACGUUGACAGAGUGUGUUGGAGCAGAAGAAAGAGGGAAGGGUGUCACAGAGAUGGCGCAUUAAAAGGCAUCAGAGAUAACCAGCUACAGUCAUCCAUAAGAAUAUAAACAAAUUCAGUCCAAGGAGAGGGAUCCUCCAGACAAUUGCUCUGAAAGUUUACGUUCCACUUCUGGAGUCCUGCUUCAAAUAUGACCCUUUUGGGGGUUUCUGAACUUUUGUUUGGGCAAGGAAAAGACAGUAUGAAGGGUUUUGAGUGCAGGGAUGCUGCACAAAAAGGGAAUAAUUUGUUAUUGUUAUUGGUAACCCUAAGGAAAUUGAGAUAAAAGAAGGUAGUGACUCCAAAACUAGAAAAAAGUAGUAUGUAAACACGAAUCACUAGAAUUGCUUCUCCUUGGAACAUGAUAUAAGCCAGAUAUGGUUCAGUUUGUUCAAGUUAGAGAAAAAGGCCAAAACAAGAUGGGAAUAAAAUAGGAAAAAGUAAAGAUUCAUACAAGGAAUGUGUCAAUUUCUUAAAUUUGUCCCCAACAUCUCUACUGCAACGUUUUAAACUGAAAAUACAAGCGCAGACAGAUUAUCGAUAAUCGAAAAAAAAUUUACAUUUAAAUUUAAAGGAUACUGUAGCUUUUUUAGACAAGAAAAACAAAAAAAGGUCCAAAAAUUCAAUGGUUUAAAAAACUAAAAGAAGAGGAAUUGAAUGCUGAUAUCAAUUGAAAAUGCAUGGAAAACAUGCAAGUUCCUUUAUAAGCACAAACUCAGAUAUGAGGAAGCUAUUUUAACAACAAGAGGGAAAUUAAGUUUUUCUUUUAUUAAUAAACAAGCAAUUAUGAAGACAUUAAUGCAUAAACAAUAAUUACUCAGCAGGAUCCUAAAAUGUUCUUUUCUUUUUUACUCCCCUACAAAGCGAUUUAAUGUACUCAUUGUGUGAAGCCAGAUUCUAUGCAGAAUGUGUCCUUGUUUAUAUGGUUUGACUAUGUGCCAGCAUCUCCUAAUUGUCCUCCCUGAAUUCUGCAACUUUGUCUCUUGUCAUUACAGUGCCACUGAAGUCCUAAUGAGUGGAAUUGUUAUCUGAAAGAUGGUCCCCUUUUUCCCUGCUGUGAAAGCACAUUAGAUCCAGACAGCUCAUUUCCAUUCCCCCUGUCAUCUCUCUAGAAAUGACGUGCAGUGCUUGAAACUGUUUAUUUCCAAAUUCAGACCUCCUCCGCGGCAGCCAUUGGCUUCAAUUACCAGUUUUUCCUGAGCGGAGCCAUCAGGCAGCCUGACACUGAGGUCCAACCUAAUUCCCACCUUCUCCAAAGUCAAGAGCAUAAUGUGCAGAUAAAAAAGGUGGAAAAUAGCCUGCCGCUCAUUAGCAUGCAGCGCUUGCCUGUUCAUUUGCUUGCUGCGAAUGAAAGUUCUGACACUCAACGCCUUGUGCAAUGCGAGAAUAGUCCUCUUCAAACUGCGUCGUGUCCUUACUGCCACGGAAAGGUCAUCGUCAUAGGUGCACGAUCACCAACCUGGCUCAAUGCUCUUCAUUCGCACACCUGAGAAAAGGGGGUUAGCGGAGGGUAUUGAUUCAGGGAAGACCUCAUUACCUGCUGAAUCAACAUAUUAUUGCCAUGUUUCACCCAGUCGAAUUGUUUACAAGUGUCUUUAGCACGGGCAAAAGCCUGCUCUGGUGGGCCGUGACCGCUUUCAUUAUUCCCUGACCCAGGUGAUUAUCUGUUAUCUGAUAGGGUGCUAUCUGACUUGGCCACAUGAGCAGGGGUAGUGAACUGCCUUGGCCUGUGCCCAUUACAAACCUGACUCUUUUUUUGCUUUCUGUUAUUCUCUCCCUAUCCUGCUCAAUCACUCUUUGCCUCUCUCAGUGCUCCCUAUGAAUGUAUCCAUUAGCCUGGUGAUGUGUAAAUUGUUUUCACCUGCACAGCAAGCAGAUGGGGAGCAGUGUCUCUGUCGUGAUUUCCUAUGCAUGAGCUUUCUAAUCAGCCAGAGAGUAAGACGAUUCCCUUGCUACUCGCUUGAAAAAGGUGAACUUGCAUGAGCAUGCAUGCAUACAUUACACACACGUCUUCUCACUCCCGAUUUGCAAUCAAUAUGCAUGCUGUGUUGUGGGGAUGUUGGCACAAAGAUGGUGGUCACAGGGUUCAUGACACAAGCUCAACACACAACACUACGACAGAUUAUUACUGUGGAAAGGGCCAGAACACGAGUUGAUCCUUGCCCCCUGACAUUCCCAAUUUCAUUUAAAAUUGAAGGAUAUUUUGACCUGGAA